GGGGAGAGGGGAUUCAGAGCGCCUUGAAGAAACAGAAGGGAUCAUGUAGGCUUAAAAGAGGGGCCUGCCCACUUCCGCCAUAGCCACCCAGGCCUGCCUCUCCAAGAGGGCCAAUCCCGGAGAGGAAAGGGCCGCAAGGGCGCCUGACCUUGCAGGAUCCUCCGCCCCUGACGCCCCUGCCGGCUAUCCGCGACAGCCUGGGUGUGUGCACGCCCGCGGACCAGAUGGACGCCCGCGCAUCCGCACUCUGUGAACCCGGCCGGGAGGGGAGGGGCCCUGGGGAUGAGCUCAGUCACACAGUCCAUCUGCCCGUGUGCAAGUUCAGGACUGAAAAACACACCGGGGAAAUUGGGACACAGUGAGGUCAUCUGGUCUACGGGCCACGAGACACGCCCGCCACACCUCGUGAAUCGGCCAAUCCUGCCCUGCAGGCCUCGUCAGCCCACCGCUGCAGCGCAGGCUGGGACGGGCGUGUGGCUGCAAACCACAGGUGCGCCCCGGGAGGAGGCAGCAGCCACCCGAGCGCCUGACUCACACGCGGGUACCUGGUGACGGGCAGAACCCACCAGGCUGGCUUUUAAGGCUGUGAAAAGUCUGCGGCGAGAAGGGUGCCGGAAGCUUCCGAGCUUCCUGCCAGCGGCGGGGCCACGCGCUCCCAGGCCCCGAGCAUCGCCAGGGUAAUCUGUCUGGCAGCAGCGGGUCCUCGCGGGAUCCGAUGACAUAGAUUCAGAACCAUUAACCCGGAAAAGAAGAGGGGAAAGGGAAGGUCACCUUGGUAACGGGAGACUUGGAGUGGCUGCAGCUCGCUGCCCAGAGGACCUGAUUCCCACCUUCCUUUACUGCUCAUGUACCCGAGGUCAGCAUCCUUGCCUGGAGCCAGGGAGGAAGCUGGAGAAAGACAGCGCCAACACCCCCGGGGUUCAGGGGGCCAUCUCCGCCUGACACAGCCCCUUGCUUCUCCCUCAGGAUUCCUAAAUCUGCUCUUGAUGGUCGGCUGCAAAUCUGGGUUCCCCCCGUUU
Bos taurus (domestic cattle) is the source of this 1019-nucleotide long non-coding RNA. The record is from Ensembl. NCBI's taxonomy places the organism in Eukaryota, Metazoa, Chordata, Mammalia, Artiodactyla, Bovidae.